GAUGAACGCUGGCGGCGUGCCUAAUACAUGCAAGUCGAGCGAACAGACGAGGAGCUUGCUCCUCUGACGUUAGCGGCGGACGGGUGAGUAACACGUGGAUAACCUACCUAUAAGACUGGGAUAACUUCGGGAAACCGGAGCUAAUACCGGAUAAUAUAUUGAACCGCAUGGUUCAAUAGUGAAAGACGGUUUUGCUGUCAAUUAUAGAUGGAUCCGCGCCGCAUUAGCUAGUUGGUAAGGUAACGGCUUACCAAGGCGACGAUGCGUAGCCGACCUGAGAGGGUGAUCGGCCACACUGGGACUGAGACACGGCCCAGACUCCUACGGGAGGCAGCAGUAGGGAAUCUUCCGCAAUGGGCGAAAGCCUGACGGAGCAACGCCGCGUGAGUGAUGAAGGUCUUCGGAUCGUAAAACUCUGUUAUUAGGGACGAACAGAUGUGUGAGUAACCAUGCAGGUAAUGACGGUACCGUAUCAGAAAGCCACGGCUAACUACGUG
This 497-nucleotide ribosomal RNA is filed under the name uncultured bacterium. RNAcentral describes it as "partial 16S ribosomal RNA". It matches the Rfam family "Bacterial small subunit ribosomal RNA", at positions 28 to 507 of the family's 1533-position model. The record is from RNAcentral.